This 73-nucleotide transfer RNA is filed under the name Myxococcales bacterium. RNAcentral's name for it is "tRNA-Pro". It matches the Rfam family "tRNA". Rfam says of the family: Transfer RNA (tRNA) molecules are approximately 80 nucleotides in length. Lineage: Bacteria; Pseudomonadati; Myxococcota; Myxococcia; Myxococcales. The record is from RNAcentral.
CAGGGUGUAGUUCAGCCAGAAGAACGCCUGCUUCGGGAGCAGGAGGCCGCCGGGGCAGAUCCGGCCACCCUGA